AAGCGGGACAACUAGACACAAUGAGUAAUUUAAUGAUAGCUAUGACAGCGGUGAUCACCAUUGCCAUGAGUAUUCCUUCAACAAGGGCUGACACAGAGAACAAUUAUAUCUUAGUCAAUUUCAGAGAGAUUACAUCACAGUGAUAAUCAGUGUGUGUUUAAGGACAUAUGACAUCUUUACAUUUAUUACAUUUUCCAUUGAUAUCUUUCCAUGGGUACUUUUUGGAUAAUAAUCAUUUUAUAUCCUUUCUGAGACAUUUUGGGACUCAUUUGCAGACUAUACAAAGAUAACACAGAUUAAAAGCACAAUCAUCAUUGAAAUCACAGAGCUUCCAAGUGUUUUUAUCUAUUUUAAUGGGUUAAUAGCUGCUAAUCCAUCUGUAGCUCCUUCAAGCACUCCAGUUCCUGGCAUUAAGGUCAGGUGUGCCUGGGAUGCUUUAAAUAUUUGUUCUUUUAAUUUUGCAAUAUCCAAGUUUCUAGAGUGUCCUUCUAGAUGCUUUUUUAUCCUUUCCCAAAUUUUGAUCUUAUUAAGAGCCAUUAAUAGUUUCCACAAAUCCUUAUGUUUAGCUCCUACAGCAGGCCAUAUCAUUUGAGGUUGAGGUGCCACUAUACCACCAUGUUUCCAGAUAAUAGGAACUCUUGCCAUACUUCUUAUCAUUUCUACCAUCUGACCAUUUUGUUCAGACCAGCUGAACAUAGUGUGGCCGUGCCAGGCAGACUGAGAGGUGCAAUUCAAGCUAAACAUCCCCUUAGGGGAACAAUCAAUAAUGACUCCAUAGGAAUCAUUGCACAGCACCUCUG
Molecule: long non-coding RNA, 800 nt
Filed under: Pan troglodytes (chimpanzee)
Lineage: Eukaryota; Metazoa; Chordata; Mammalia; Primates; Hominidae
Description: long non-coding RNA NONPTRT007977
Source: RNAcentral